Molecule: ribosomal RNA, 435 nt
Filed under: uncultured Sphingobacteriales bacterium
Lineage: Bacteria; Pseudomonadati; Bacteroidota; Sphingobacteriia; Sphingobacteriales
Description: bacterial SSU rRNA
Rfam family: Bacterial small subunit ribosomal RNA
Source: RNAcentral
AAUUCGAUGAUACGCGAGGAACCUUACCUGGGCUUAAAUGGGGAGUGACACGCUGUCGAAAGAUGGUUUUCUUCGGACACUCUUCAAGGUGCUGCAUGGUUGUCGUCAGGCUCGUGCCGUGAGGUGUCGGGUUAAGUCCCAUAACGAGCGCAACCCUUACCGUUAGUUACCAUCAGGUUAAGCUGGGGACUCUAGCGGGACUGCCACCGUAAGGUGAGAGGAAGGUGGGGAUGGACGUCAAAUCAGCACGGCCCUUAUGUCCAGGGCUACACACGUGUUACAAUGGCCGGUACAAAGGGCAGCUACUUCGCGAGAAGAUGCUAAUCUCGAAAGCCGGUCUCAGUUCGGAUCGAAGUCUGCAACCCGACUUCGUGAAGCUGGAUUCGCUAGUAAUCGCGCAUCAGCCAUGGCGCGGUGAAUACGUUCCCGGGCCUU